Molecule: long non-coding RNA, 1863 nt
Organism: Silurus meridionalis
Lineage: Eukaryota; Metazoa; Chordata; Actinopteri; Siluriformes; Siluridae
Exons: 2
Source: RefSeq, a predicted model, not a curated record
UUUAUAUCUUUAAUGACAAAAUGAAUUUCAUUCACAAACUUUCUACAACAGACUGAAACAUCCAGAGUUCUGAUUUUAGAGAGAAACAACUUUAACUUCAUCUGCUCGGAUCAGUGUGUGUGUGUGUGUGUGUGUGUGUCCAGGCAGCCUACUGGAGAUCAGAACAAGGGCUGACGGCACACUGAAGAACUGAUUAAUGGCACAUUUUAAGCAACAAUAAAAACAGAUGCAAACAAAGACAAGAAUAAAAGUUUGAAAUGGAAGAACAGGAAAGAAGUGAAAUGUGAAAUUGACGUUCAAAGAAACAAAAACAUCCAAAACGUAUGACUUUUUCCCAAAAUAACUUGCAGUGUUUCAAGUUUUCAAACACAAUAAAUAAACCACGCCCACAUGGUCACUGCGUAGCUUACCAAUGAAAUUAAAUAGGACACCCCCCCCAAGAAUCGACCAUGACCCCGCCCCUAUUUAGGCCCCACCUCAAAUAGACCCCAAUUAUUAAAGCUAUUAGUAUUUGAUUUAGCACGUAAACGUGGCGGCGUGUCGUUUGGUCUCUCGUUAACGUCCCUCAUUGUUGUUUUGCUGCUUUUGGGUGAAACGUGAAUCUACAACACACUGUUUUUAUUUUAAUGCCAAUCGCUGCAUCUUGGCAAAAUCCAGUCACUGUUAUAUAAUAAUAUUAUAUAUAAUCUGAAGCAAAAAAUAAAAUACAGACACUAAUAUAAUAAGAAUGAAAUAAAAGGAGAAGCGCGUCUGGUCUGCAGAGCGGAACAUCACGUGCAAACGAGGCCCACGUGACCCACAAAACCACGUCAAAGUGCAAGAAGAGCAGCUGGAAAAAAGUGCGAGAGUCUCGUCCAGACGUUUAGAACGUGUCCUCGUCCACUUCUACGACGUUCCGUAAAAAAAUGAGUGCUUUCAAAUAUUUUUGGAGACUGAUAAUAAAAAGCUUAGAGAGGAAAGAGCAGAAGAACUUCAGAAGAACUUCGGAAGACCUGACGAAGCGAUGCACAAACACGCCCCUCGUUUUCUUCUAGAUUUCCUGCGUACCGAUUAUGCAAAUGAGUUACUAUAUACGAGUUCUGAUUGGAGCGGUGGUUUAGUGUGUGUAUGAACGCGGCGGUCGGUCGGUCGUAGUUAACGUGUGGAAAAUUAAAUCAUCUUCAUGACUUCACGAACGCGUACGUUCUGCAAGAGCUCCGGUCCUGCAGGUGCCGCUGUCUGAACCGUACGACGGUAACCAUGACUACAGGGGGAUGAAGGUGUAAAGUGCAUGGAGAUGAGAUGAUGGGAGGUUGUGGUUACGGAGGUGCUCUACACUGAACGGCAGCGUUAACGUGUAAUAAAUCCACGUGUUCGGAUCGCUGUUCUGUGGAUUAUGGCUUUGGCGCGUGAGGUUUAACCCGUGUUUCUCCGUGCAGAGGAGUUGCUUUGUAACGUAAAAACGAGUGUAGAAAAUUAAUUUGAGCAAAUCGACGCAAAAAAGCUCUUUGCAUAGAUAAAUCAGGUGAGCAGAGUCGUGCGGUAACGCAGCGGCGUGACGAUCGAUGUGACGCCGUGACGUGUUCCGGCUCCUGCGCUCGCUUUGGGAUUAGUGCACGUGAGGAAGAGCAGCGUAACAGCAGGAAGUGACAUCACAGCGGGUCAGUCGAGUGAAGAUCAGAGCUACUGAGGAGAGAAGAGACAGAGGAACAUCUCAAGAACAAUCUCAAAACAUGUUAUUGAAAUAAAGUUUCGAGUUGAAAUGCUCUGUGUUAUUUUAAGAUGAAUAUAUAAUGAUGAAUUCUGUUGUUCUCUGUUUUUCAGAUCUUUUCUGUUAUUAUGAAGUGAAUUAAACUAAAACAGCUGAUUGUGUAUUUAAAUGAU